Molecule: long non-coding RNA, 346 nt
Organism: Thalassophryne amazonica
Lineage: Eukaryota; Metazoa; Chordata; Actinopteri; Batrachoidiformes; Batrachoididae
Exons: 4
Source: RefSeq, a predicted model, not a curated record
GGAGCCGAGUCUCUGUCCACGGUGCUGAAAGCUGCAGCGUCGCUGUCCGGGUCUUGAGUCCGACAGCCUGAGCAUUUCUGGGAGCGACGUGCUGAUCCUUUGGGGGAUCGAACCUGGGCUGUUUGCGGCCCGUUCAUGUGUGAGCGGAGGAGGGCGGCGCAGUGUGAGGGCAAGAUGAACCAGGAUACAACAGAAACACGAAGCCGAACCCGUUACAAAGGAACCCGUGUGUCAUCAGAGCUCACGGGACCAGAGAUAAAGGAGCUGAGCAGUUGUCCCACACCCGGAUGUGAUGGCAAAGGUCACGUCAGCGGACGAUACUCACGUCAUAGAAGGUAACUCUCUC